AGUGACGUCUCAGAACGACUCCCCCGAGAGCCUCCUUCCCCGUCCCUCAGCACACAUUCCCAGAAGAGCCCUCCGUCCGCCCUGCCCCUGCCAUGAGCCUCGGCCUCCUGUGCUGUGUGGCCCUGGGUCUCCUGCAGGCAGGGCCCGUGAAUGCUGGCAUCACUCAGACCCCCAGAUUCCAGAUCCUGGGGACAGGACAGAGCAUGACGCUGAGAUGUGAACAGGACAAGGACCACGACUACAUGUCCUGGUAUCGACAAGACCCUGGACAAGGGCUGCGGCUGAUCCAUUACUCCGUCAGUGCUGGUACCACCGAGAGAGGAGAAAUCUCCAACGGAUACAACGUCUCUAGGUCAAAUACAAAGAACUUCCCUCUCACGCUGGCGUCCGCAACUCCCUCCCAGACAUCUGUGUACUUCUGUGCCAGCAGUGACUGCCGUGCAAACACCGGGCAGCUGUAUUUUGGGGCUGGUUCCAAGCUGAUCGUGCUGGAGGAUCUGAAAAAGGUGAGCCCUCCCAAGGUCACAGUGUUCGAACCAUCAGAAGCAGAGAUCUCCCGGACCCUGAAGGCCACGCUCGUGUGCCUGGCCACAGGCUUCUACCCCGACCACGUGGAGCUGAGCUGGUGGGUGAACGGGAAGGAGGUGCGCGACGGGGUCAGCACGGACCCUGAGCCCUACAAGGAACAGUCCGGCGCGAAUGUGUCCAGCUACUGUCUGAGCAGCCGGCUGAGGGUCUCCGCCACCUUCUGGCACAACCCUCGGAACCACUUCCGCUGCCAGGUCCAGUUCCACGGGCUCGGGAAGGAUGACCAGUGGGACUACCCCGAGGCCAAACCCGUCACCCAGAACGUCAGUGCCGACACCUGGGGCAGAGCAGACUGUGGCUUCACUUCGGCGUCCUACCAGCAGGGGGUCCUGUCAGCCACCAUCCUCUAUGAGAUCCUGCUGGGGAAGGCCACCCUAUAUGCCAUCCUGGUCGGCAUCCUCGCGCUGAUGGCCAAGGUCAAGAGAAAGGAUUCCUGAGGCCAGCUCCAAAAGCGUAUCCUGAGUUCAUAAUCCUCACCCCGGAUUCUCCUUUCCAUGCUUCCAGCCUGUGUUUCUAAAAGCGUGAUUCUCUCUCCGCCUCUUAUCUCCUUCCUGCCGGGUUAUCUGUCCCUUCGCCCCACUUCCCUGUGGAUUGAGCUCCUCAGCCCUGACACUGAAAGAGACUAAAACAAUAAAAAGCAUCGUGCCAGGC
This is a non-coding RNA of Prionailurus viverrinus (fishing cat), 1239 nucleotides long. The record is from the annotation of a RefSeq genome assembly. Lineage: Eukaryota; Metazoa; Chordata; Mammalia; Carnivora; Felidae.